RNAcentral lists this non-coding RNA (27 nucleotides) under Rattus norvegicus (Norway rat). Lineage: Eukaryota; Metazoa; Chordata; Mammalia; Rodentia; Muridae. The record is from RNAcentral.
CCCGUUUAAAUGUAUGGGCCGGUCAAA